GACGAACGCUGGCGGCGUGCUUAACACAUGCAAGUCGAACGGAAAGGCCUCUUUCGGGGGGUACUCGAGUGGCGAACGGGUGAGUAACACGUGAGUAACCUGCCCUUGACUUUGGGAUAACUUCAGGAAACUGGGGCUAAUACCGGAUAGGAGCUCCUGCUGCAUGGUGGGGGUUGGAAAGUUUCGGCGGUUGGGGAUGGACUCGCGGCUUAUCAGCUUGUUGGUGGGGUAGUGGCUUACCAAGGCUUUGACGGGUAGCCGGCCUGAGAGGGUGACCGGCCACAUUGGGACUGAGAUACGGCCCAGACUCCUACGGGAGGCGGCAGUGGGGAAUAUUGCACAAUGGGUGGAAGCCUGAUGCAGCAACGCCGUGUGCGGGAUGACGGCCUUCGGGUUGUAAACCGCUUUCGCUCAUGACGAAGCUUUGUGUGACGGUAGUGGGUAAAGAAGCACCGGCUAACUACGUG
RNAcentral lists this ribosomal RNA (467 nucleotides) under uncultured bacterium. RNAcentral describes it as "partial 16S ribosomal RNA". It matches the Rfam family "Bacterial small subunit ribosomal RNA", at positions 28 to 507 of the family's 1533-position model. The record is from RNAcentral.